Molecule: long non-coding RNA, 748 nt
Filed under: Carica papaya (papaya)
Lineage: Eukaryota; Viridiplantae; Streptophyta; Magnoliopsida; Brassicales; Caricaceae
Description: long non-coding RNA (CPAP_LNC012536)
Source: RNAcentral
UAAAUAUAAUUAGUAUGUCUAAUUUGUAUUUGUUUGUGUUCAUGUAUUGUAUAGAUAUACGUUGCUACGCAUGUGUAUGUAUAUAUAUAAAAAUAUACGAUGAAUGAGAUAUGAAUUGAUAAGAACAGAGUUGAUAAAAACAGAACUAAUAAGAGCAAAUACGUGAAUAAAUAUAUAUGUAUGGUAUGUUGCGCGUGAUUGUGUAUACGUGUUUAAGUAUGAACACGUGUGUAUAUAUCAGUGGAGAUUGUGUGUGUGUGAAUACAAAUAUGUAUUCUGUUUGAGACAUGUAAUGAUGAUACAUGUAUGUAUUAUAAUAUAUGUGUGUGUAUUAAUAUGUGUGUACAUAUGUUAUGCAUGUGAAAUAUAUAACCAGCGUGUGUAUAUGUAGAAUUUAGGUACACUGUGCUUGUUGUGUGAUCUGGUGUAGAUGUAAGACGCACUGUACUUAUUGUGUGAUCUAGUAUAAUUGUGCGAGAAAUCUAAGUAUCUUGUGCUUACUAUGUGAUCUGGUACAAGAUGAUUCAGAAAGUAGUUUGAAAUAUAUGUCUCUGAUGUGCAUGAUGAUAUCUUAUAUUUUUUGUGUGUGUUUGUAUUCUAUUAUGUGUAGAAAUGAAGAUCUUAUAUAUAAAAUAAGUGAAUUGAAAAUGAGAGAGAUUUGGAAAGAAUAUAGAGUUUAAAGACUCUUGAUACCUACUCGUUUAGUCUUAAUCGAUGAAGGGAGUGUGUGUGCGUGGUUGAAGUUCAG